This 104-nucleotide ribosomal RNA is filed under the name uncultured bacterium. RNAcentral's name for it is "partial 16S ribosomal RNA". It matches the Rfam family "Bacterial small subunit ribosomal RNA", at positions 1379 to 1482 of the family's 1533-position model. The record is from RNAcentral.
CCUUGUACACACCGCCCGUCACACCACGAAAGUGGGCAACUACCCGAAGCCGGUGAUCCACCUCUGGAGGAAGCCGUCGAAGGUGGGGCGUCAUGAUUGGGGUG